This 420-nucleotide ribosomal RNA is filed under the name uncultured Oscillatoriales cyanobacterium. RNAcentral's name for it is "bacterial SSU rRNA". It matches the Rfam family "Bacterial small subunit ribosomal RNA", at positions 356 to 790 of the family's 1533-position model. The record is from RNAcentral. Lineage: Bacteria; Bacillati; Cyanobacteriota; Cyanophyceae; Oscillatoriales.
GGGGAAUUUUCCGCAAUGGGCGAAAGCCUGACGGAGCAAUACCGCGUGAGGGAAGAAGGCUCUUGGGUCGUAAACCUCUUUUGUCAGGGAAGAACACAAUGACGGUACCUGACGAAUCAGCCUCGGCUAACUCCGUGCCAGCAGCCGCGGUAAUACGGAGGAGGCAAGCGUUAUCCGGAAUUAUUGGGCGUAAAGCGUCCGCAGGUGGCUCAUCAAGUCUGCGGUCAAAGACCGGGGCUUAACCCUGGAAAGGCCGUGGAAACUGAAGAGCUAGAGAGAGGUAGGGGUAGAGGGAAUUCCCGGUGUAGCGGUGAAAUGCGUAGAGCUCGGGAAGAACAUCGGUGGCGAAAGCGCUCUACUGGACGGCAACUGACACUCAGGGACGAAAGCUAGGGGAGCGAAUGGGAUUAGAUACCCCAG